CCUACGGGAGGCAGCAGUGAGGAAUAUUGGUCAAUGGGCGCGAGCCUGAACCAGCCAAGUCGCGUGAGGGAAGACGGCUCUACGGUUUGUAAACCUCUUUUGCCGGGGAGCAACGGGCGCCACGUGUGGCGCUACUGAGAGUCCCCGGAGACAAAGCAUCGGCUAAGUCCGGGCCAGCAGCGGCGUUAAUACGGGGGAUGCGGGCGUUAUCCGGAUUUAUGGGGUUUAGAGGGUGCGUAGUCGGAUCGUUAAUUCAGUGGGAAAAUUGUGGAGAUCAACCCCUUACAGCCAUUGAAACUGGCGCUCUUGAGUGGAAGAGAAGUAUGCGGAAUGCGUGGUGUAGCGGUGAAAUGCAUAGAUAUCACGCAGAACCCCGAUUGCGAAGGCAGCAUGCCGGCUUCCUACUGACGCUGAAGCACGAAAGCGUGGGGAUCGAACAGGAUUAGAUACCCCUGUAGUC
This 460-nucleotide ribosomal RNA is filed under the name uncultured bacterium. Its description in RNAcentral is "partial 16S ribosomal RNA". It matches the Rfam family "Bacterial small subunit ribosomal RNA", at positions 338 to 795 of the family's 1533-position model. The record is from RNAcentral.